Molecule: long non-coding RNA, 8449 nt
Organism: Dromaius novaehollandiae (emu)
Lineage: Eukaryota; Metazoa; Chordata; Aves; Casuariiformes; Dromaiidae
Exons: 18
Source: RefSeq, a predicted model, not a curated record
UGUCUUGUUUUCUUUCUUGAAGUGUCUGCAGUUGGAGUUGUUACCGGUUCCCUGACUUUCUCUUCCUAGAGUAGAACGUUCCUCUUUAAAAGUCCUUCUUCUCUCUCAAGGACUUUAGGAUGUCACCACUAUACACUACCAGCUCUUAAGAAUAUUGCCCUUCCAGUCAAAUGUUGCUCUUCAUUAAUGGAGUCGUUCAGGACGGCCUCCCUCCCCUUGGGACCAAGGACAAAGUUCGUGAUGCCCUUGGACUGAAUUAAGGUGGGCUUGUAUACACUCAGGAAAAAAAAGCAUGAAGAUUUAUAGGAUGCAUGAGCAGCCCUACUGAAUAAGGCACAGCCUGCAGCCAGCAGGGUGAUUUCAGCUAUUCAGCAGACCAGCUCUUGCCCACCCUGUGUUGAAACAUUCCCAUGUUUAACAGCAACUGAAGACACAUUUUGAUUAAUUGGACCUUAAGACCUUAAGCCAGACAGGAAUGAAGUCCUGGAGGACGGUCACCGUUUCCGAUGCGGAACAAAGCCUGGCCUCACAGCAGGUGCUCAGCCGGUUGCUUGGCCCUUUGCCAGUUUGACUGCAGCUUGCACAUCCUAGGCAUCUGUACAGACGUUUGGAAGUGCAUUUCAUUUUCCAUCAAAGAAUCGUUGGAUAAAAUGAGUAAAACCAGUGGGAUUAGGGAGCUAAAUCUAGGUCUUCUCCUCAAGGUAAUCUUUCUUAUGAAUGCCUAACAGUCCUUUACAAAUAAUCCACAGUACCAGAAAUUCCUCAUAAAAGCUGGAGCAGAGUUUGGCAAUUGGAAACGGACACUCUGUCAGAUGAAAGACAGUCACUAGGAAGGAUGAGGGGCAAGAUGCUAUUAAUGUAGAAAGAACUAUACAGGCUGAUGACUCUGAAAUGCCAAAGGGAGCUCUAUGGGAACAACCUGGCUACCAAGGAGUGCUAGUAGGCAAUCAGCCAAUGGGACAGGACUACGGCACUUCUCCUGUCAGUUACUGUGAAGUUAAAAACGUUUCCAGUUUAAGCAUACAUACUGAUAUCAGAAGAACUACAGAAAGCCAAACAUGUUACACUUUGUUGGAACGUCUUACUUCAAUCGUGCAGCCUCCAUAAAUCACGAGAAUUUGCAGGAGUCCCACAAGGGGACGCUCCCCUCCAAAGAGUCCCAGCAAGGAACUGGGACAGUGAAGCAAUGUGGAUCGAAAGAUCACAUUCUGAAGGCUUCCACCAGUGGCCUUCCUUCCUUAUGAUGAUUGAUCAUUUAUUCCUAUCAUUGGUUUCCUGUCUUUUAUCAGAAUGGGUUAAUAUUGCAAGCUGUUGAAGGAUAAACUGUGGAAAUGUCUGGUUUGAGGGACAGAGAAAAGGAAGAGACUACAAAGAUGGUAUGGUUGGUAUGUCUUGUGACAGCGAAUGAGUAAAAAGCAUCUGCAUAUACAGGGGGUGGCAGCUGAUGAAAAUAUGUCAAUGUGAUGAAUGUGAAAGGUGAGGAUUUUGUUAGUUUAGAUAUGUUUUAAAUACCCUGGUUUUUGAGUCUGCUCAGUCAGUUCUUACCACCAGUCCUUUCCCUGAAGGCCCUACAAAAUAGUAGUGGUCUACCAUUAUUGUUAUUGUUCACAUAUCAGUUUGUAAAUGUAAGUUCUUGCACAUGCAGCUCCUUUCUCAUGAAUAUUCUUUUUUGUUUAUUGUUUUUUUUGAUACUUGUGGUAAUGGACUCUAAGAACUCACUAUUUCCUGAGGCUCCAUUGGUUGCAGUACUUUCAAAUAUGUUUCUGAAUUUUUAAACAUUCUGUCUUGUAAGUCAUUGGUAGGUCCACCUGAAACACACUGUCAAUGUAUUUUCACUUUGUUGCAUCUGAUCCUUCAGCAUUCUUAUUAUAAGAACAUCCAGAAAAUUCAUUCAGGCUAAACAAUAUCAGGGCCUUUUUACAUUUAUAUUUUGUAUUUUACAUGACUCAGAUGAGCAGGUGCUAUUAGGGAAGGAGGCAGCUUGUUUUAAAUUUUCUCCACUUUGCUGAAUCAUCUGGGAGUUUCAUCUUCCAAUUCCUCACCAUUGCAAGAAGAACAGGACAUACUGGGUUUUUUCUUCUUUGCCUUCUUAAAAGUGGCACUUGCAAGGGCAGGACAUGUACCUAACAGAAGCGGCUUGUACAUGAGGUUGCUUAAGGGAGUAUCACCCUGUUCAAAUUUCUGAAGGUAAGGUAUUGUUUGUUUUGCUUACUAAAAUGGACAACACUGAAUUUCCAUAGCUUUGGCUCUUGGAAGGUGAUUAAAUAAAAUGCUGUAUAUAUUCCAUGUGAGCAUCCUACUAGAAAGAAUGAAUGACAUUAAUGGACAAACCAAAAACAAUUUUUAAAAGGAAACCAUUGUGCUGAGUGGCAGGAAGAUUUUCCUGAAUGUUAAAUACUGUUGAGUGCAGAAGGUGUCUGUAAAAUUACUUCCACUCAAAGGAACCAAAAUGUAGCCUACUGCAGGUUAAGAAGCGUCUUUGUCGCUUUCUCCUCCGCCAUACAUUUCGGCGAGCUUGUUAAACCGCGGGCCCCACUCUCGGAGGUAAUCAUAGUUUUGGUCCCCUUCAGUGGUACCCGACUCCAGUGAGCUCAAGGAUUCAGCUAUAGAAUCGUUGCCUUCGUAGGCGUAGGUUGCGAGCGAGUCGUACGGCGGCGCAGAAGGGUCAGUGUCAUGCUCUUUUAGCCUUUGAUUAAUGAAAUCUCGGACGUCUGUGUUGUCUGGUGCUGAAGGAGUCCUCCGCGGUACAAAUAACGUUUCAGGGAUAAUAUCUCGCCGAAGCUUCUUAUCUUCGAUAGCUGCAGGAUUCCUCAGUGUGCCGAUAUCAAAGGCUUGGGUGUCUUCCUCUCCACCGCCUUCGUCGUUAUAACUCACAAUGUUGUCUCUGAUGUCCUCUUUAGACAAGAUCAAAGGCUCCUUCUUGCGUUGCCUCUUCAAAGCAGCAAACAGCACCACUAUGACUUAGAGAGAGAAAGAACAGGAUAACGAUGCAGAGGAGGAUGGCAAUCAGCGCCCCUGUGCUCAGGCCAGCAGGGAGAAGCAGGGCCUCAGCAUUGCAGGACUGCAUGUUGCCCCGGCUGUCACAGGCACACACGCGAAUGGUCAGCGUGCCCGUGCUGCUCUGGAUCGGGUAGUCGUUGUCUGAUAUCACCACGGGUAGAAGGGAGAAAAUACAGAUUCAUUCUCCGGGAAAGAAGAAUAAAUUAUUUUUCAUCAAACCUGUGGAUCUCUCAAGAAGCUUCUGAAAGUUUUCCCUGAUAAUAGUUGAAGAAAGAAUGACAGAGGAUCGAAGGAAAAGCCACAGUGGCCAUGCACUUUGUGUCAUAAGUUUCAUUCAUCAUCAUAAAAGAACAAAACAGAAAACUAGGAGAAUCAGAACUGUGGCAGAAGUCUAAAGUGAAAAAUCUCAAUUUAAGAGAGUAAAGCAAUAGAUUUCUUCAAGAGGGAAGAUUUGGAUUUAAUACAGUAGCGUGCUUGCUUUCUCAGCUGGAGAGCUGUCUUUCUCUAAACUUGUUUUCUCACUUAAACAAACACAUGAUAUAAUAACCACCAAGACAUGUUUAUUCAACUACUAUGACAAUUCAGCCAAAUGUGCAGAACCCUUAUCAGAACAUCAGACAAAAGGAUAUGUCUCCUAUUAACUCCCUCAUUCAUCACUUCUUGUAGCAACUUCUGUUCAACUGUUGAUCUUGUUUGACCUUAUAAUACAUUUCAUAAGCAAAUUCAGGUAAUUUCCUUACAUUAGGGGGGAAAAAAAAAACCUGCUUGCCUUUUUUUGUUGCAUGCAUCCUUUAGAAGUGAAAAUGUACAGCUAAUUCAAAAUUACUAUCAAACAUCUGACUGGCUAACUUCCAUUCAGUUUCAUGUUACAUUGAUGAUAUGUAUCUUUAAAAGGCAAAGUUUUAAGGAUGACCUUAAUGAAACAAUGUAAUUAGGUUCAUGGUCACAUUUAUGGCAUCUAUACAUCAAUGUGCAAAAUACAUCACAAACAAAAGCACUGUUUGCUCCUGUAUCGUUCUUGAUCACAACUUCAGCUUUCAAACUGUUCUACAAAUUUUUUGUAGAUGAAGCUGUGACUGAAAAUUCACACUGGAAGUGCAUUACUAGCUCUUUUUCAAAUGAGACCACAUAUAAAUAACAAAAGUGCAUGUACUCAUAAUCUUCUAUGUGAGCCUUGUAGUACUGCUAGGGCAUGCAUGCUGGUUCCUCCCUUUUGUUCACUGUAUAGCAUUUGAAAUCAAGCAUGCCACCAUUUAAUGUCUUCUCACCUACUCUGCUGAAGGGAAUGCUCAAAUGCUUGACGAUUCUUGCCAUGUAGGUGCUUUUCCUCGUUCUUUGAUUUUGAUGUCUUCACAUAAAGCUUUCCAAAUGUGCUGCCAGUGAGAAUUAAAUUCUGUAUUCAGACCAACAUUCCAGAAGUUUGUAUUGCCAUGAAGAAGGCAUUAUGUUGCACCAUGGUGGUGCAACAUAAUGCAUCUUGUGAUGCACCAUGUUGUACCAGAAGAAAUGAGUCUAAAUUAGUCGUAGUGUUAAUGUCUCCAGAGAUUCCUAUUGCAGAUCUAUCCAAAGGUAAAAUGACCAAAUCAGUCCCAGCAAGAAAUCCACCUUUUUUUUUUUUCCUCACCUUCUCCAGGCAAUGCUGCUAGGGUUGCCACGGCAUCUCAUUAAAUGGAGUGAGGCAGGCCCUUGACACCAAUGAAACACUAGCAAGCUCUACUCCAGCUGACAAAAUUGAAAGGGAAGUAUCUUAAGAUCAUGCCUCUUUGGCAUCAGUUUGCCCUAUAAGCAGUAUCUUGGCAUUGCUUCAGUGCCGAAAUGUAGGCAUGGCGUCACUGGCACCAAGCUGCUUGGUUUUUGUGGAUGGACUAGUUGGAGCCUUUUUCCAUAUCUUCACCUCUGCUCAUCAUGCGCUUGGAAUAGUCUCAAACUUUAUAUUCAAGGGCACAAGACUUGCCAUACAAGGUGCUGGGCUGUUUCUCUGCCUCUGUACUUCUACUCCCCUCUCUUCCUGUAUGCAUUUGUGGCCCUCACUGGUACCAUGAGAUAGGAUGCUGUUCUUCACAGGAUUUCUCCUCAUGCAAAGGCUUACCCCUUGACUUUUCACUGGAUGAGGACACUCAGUAUGUCAGAAUGACUACUCAGUGGUGCCAUGGGGGUAAGUGAUGAGGCUUUCCUGCAUGGGAACUAGGUUUUAACUUUGGGGCAGCUGCUACUCCUAUUCUGGAUAGCACUAAAAGUCUUGUGCUUUUCCAGUCAUUAGGCCUUUCAGGAUUUUUAUGAUGUGGUAGAAUUGCUUGUUAGGGAAGAGAUUGAUCCCUGUCACAAUUUGGUUGAUAGCCUUUACUCUCCAGGGUCUCUCCCUCUCUCAGCACUUGUGAGGGCCUGAUAUAGAGACUGAUACUGGUUGCCAGUUUUCCAGGGACACGUAUGUGAACCUGAUAUCCUCUUCUUACAACUGCUGCAACAGAAAGAGCCAAAAGAACACAACUUUGUGAUAGGAGGCCUCAGGGACUGAAUGCUGUAACUCCACAAUUCUUCACUUCUGCUUCUUGAAGUAUUUUGAACUACCCUGUUUUCUUGCAUGAGUUUUAAAGGGUAAAAUUGCUGAUUUUGCAAUGACGAAUUAGUAAGUUUCUUUAGUCUUUCAAGGGCACUUGGAAAUAAAUUAUAUAGACCUUUUUGUACUUUGCACCUAGGAGGAGGCAGGCCUUCCUUUUCUGCCACUGACUCUUCCAGUCUGCAUGGCCAUUUGAACGGGGUAAGCACAGAUAGGACUUUGGUUGUUACUGUUCAGCUGCUCGAUCUUUUCUUCAAAUUAUUGUGUGUGGCUGCCCUGUCAUGGUGCUUCUGGAGACCUGAGCUUCUGCUUCUUCUCUCUGUGCCUCUGUCUCCAUCUCAUCAUCAUUCAGGGCAAGACUGGCCUUUCAUUUCCUAUAUUGGCAUCUCAUUAUGUACUGUGAUGUGAUCUCUGUGCCACCAAUCUCAGGUCUUCAGUUCAGUUAACUGUUAUGGAACUCUGCAAAUUCUGUCAUCAAGAGAAUCAUGUGAGCACCAUGAGAAGAGUUGCAGAAAUUGUAAUGUCACAGGUUGGAAACAAAGGCUUUUAUAAAGAUAGAAGCUAUUUCCUUGUGCCCAAGUGUAUGUGUUUGAGGGAAGGAGGGAUAGGUCACCAUUUUGGUGACCUAUUGCACCUUUUGCAUUUGCAAAUUCAAGGCCAUGAUGACUUUGGAAGGUAUCCUGCCAGCUCUCCAUUCAGGUAGGGGGACUGGUUUGUGUUUCUUGGCUUUUUUGUAAUGCUGACUUUCAUGCUGUAAUGAGGUUGAAUUACCAUUACAUGUCUGAUUCAUGGAAGAUCAGGUUCACUCUCAGAGUCAGAAGCUUCCAUUUGACUUGUCCAUAGCUCCCUUUGAUUUCACCAAACAUCUGGCAACAGAUACAGCCCACUUUUGUCACAAAGGGAUUCCUUUAUCAGUUCCCUAAGUUUCCUGCUGAUUUGUAAGGGGAUCAGAUUUUUUUGGUCUUUCCUCAAUCUAUGAUCCCUGACCAUAGUCUUUGCUUAAAUGUCAAAAAGCCAUGCCACUCACCAGAAGAUGUGAUUUCUGAUGCUUUGUGGAAAACAUCACAUGCAGCUUCACAGCAUCUGUAGGUCAGCAGGACAGUCAUGUCUCAUCAAGAUGUCAUUUCCUUGAGCAAGAUUCCAGGCGUAGCUUAAAUGCAUUUGCAGGUUACAGGGAAAGAAACUGCUUCUUUCUGCUGCUGCUGAUAAAAGUCCAUCACAAGGAACACUUUCUUCACCAGAUUGGGAACUCAUGUGGCUGAAGAUCAGGCUCUGUGGUCUUUGGAGGGAACAGCCGCUUCCUGUCAACCUUUUGAAAUGCUGCAUGGUUUUCUGUGCACACUUUCUGGACUCGGUGGUGGACAAUCAGGUUAGAGAACGUUAGAAAGAAACUGGAUGUCCAGGGGAUUGGGACAAUACAAGCCUGUGGGACUUGAUGGGAUGCACCUGUGAGUGCUGAGGGAGCUGGCUGAUGUCACUGUGAGGCCAUGCUCUAUCAUUUUAACGGCUUGGGGAUCAACAGAGGUUCCUGUGGAGUGGAAGAAACCAAACAGGAAGGGUGCAGGAAGGAGUAUUUGGAGAACUACAGGCCUGUCAGCCUCACCUUGAUCCCUGGGAAGGUGAUGGAGCAACUAAUCUUAGAUACUAUUUCCAGACACAUGAAGGACAGGCAAGUGACUGGGAUAGUCAGCAUGGAUUUACGAAGGGGAAAUCGUGCUUAACCAACCUGACAGCCUUCCACAAUGAGACGUCUAGCUUGGUGGGAUGAGGGGAGAGCAGUGGAUAUUGUCUGUCUCAGCUUCAGUAAGGCAUUUGACACUGUCUCCCACAACAUCCUCAUCAACAGCAGAUGAAAUACAGACUAGGUAAGUGGUCAGUAAGGUGGACUGAAACCUGGCUGCACUGCUGGGCUGAAAGGGUUGUGAUCAGUGGCAUGAAGUCCAGCUGGAGGCCAGUCACACCAGUGGUGUGCCCCAGGGGUUGAUGCUGAGGCCAGUACUGUACAUCAUUAAUCACCUGGCCGAUGUGGCAGAGUGAACUCUCAGCAAGUUUGACACAAAGACAAGGAGGAGUGGCUGAUGAUAGACCAGAUGCCAUUCAGAUGUACCUGAGCAGGCUAGGGAAUGGGCAAAGAGGAAUCCAAAUUUUAAUUUAGUUAUUAUCCAGUUGUGGGCACAGACUGAUGGCAGUAGUUAAGAGUAUAAGUAACUGUGGUAGUUGUAUUGCACAAGAUUUCCAUUCUGGGUGAGUUGCUAGGCAGGCACUUGGAAUCCUAUGUGUUUUACCAAGACUCGUUUCAUUCUUGAAGCUUUAAGGACUGAUAGAGUCUUCACUAUAAUAGUUUUUAGUCAUUGUUUACUUGACUCUGAAACCUCUGGGCAGUAAUUGAUGGCAGGGUAACUACUGAGAGUCUCUUAAGUAUGUGUAAAUCUACUUGAAAGAAAAAUUACUUGCUGGGUACAACUGUUUAUUUGUAGUCAACACGUACAUUCGUCUCUCAGCAGCCUUUUCCCUCUGUCAGUGACUUCCAAGUAUAAAUCUACAUUUGAGAAGAACUGAAAUGGCAGAGAGUAAGCUCUGCUUUUUAGGUCAACUACUGACCAUUGUUACAUUGUAAAUGUAGCCAAUGCAUCUUAAAGAAUAUCUGUUACUGCUGAGGUUCGCUUCUGUUAUUUCACAGUAAAAUUGAACAAUAUUGAAUCACUAAAAUUUAAGAAACUGAGGAUUAAAACUUACCUAUACUGUUUUGUACUACUAUUUUUAAAAUAAAUAAGCAGCAGUACCUAUACAACAAAUCUGUACUCAUGUCUCAUUUGAAAAUUCUGCAUAGUAACAAGGCACAUUUUGAAGGAGAAAGUCAAUAUAAUCAAGUUCUAAUAUGUCCUUUGCCCU